This 253-nucleotide ribosomal RNA is filed under the name uncultured bacterium. RNAcentral's name for it is "partial 16S ribosomal RNA". It matches the Rfam family "Bacterial small subunit ribosomal RNA", at positions 524 to 776 of the family's 1533-position model. The record is from RNAcentral.
UACGGGGGGGGCAAGCGUUGUUCGGAAUUACUGGGCGUAAAGGGCUCGUAGGUGGCCAACUAAGUCAGACGUGAAAUCCCUCGGCUUAACCGGGGAACUGCGUCUGAUACUGGAUGGCUUGAGUUUGGGAGAGGGACGCGGAAUUCCAGGUGUAGCGGUGAAAUGCGUAGAUAUCUGGAGGAACACCGGUGGCGAAGGCGGCGUCCUGGACAAACACUGACACUGAGGAGCGAAAGCCAGGGGAGCAAACGGG